ACACCACAAACACACGCAUCAAACGCAAACGACGCCGCACACGCACACUCACAGUAGCACCACACCAAGUUCCCACCAUGGUGCACACGUCGGGAGCGCGCGGGGACACACACGCCACUCACUCCAACCCGCAGUUAACCCUUUCAGCCCUGGGCGCAGGAACCCCCUCCCUAGAGCCGGAGAAGACUUGGAGGCAGCGGGGAGGCCAGUUCUCAGAGAAGAAAUCUGAUGGAUUCAGCUGACCCUACCAGGACAAGCUAUUUCAUGCUUCACUACCAGCCAACGAAUUGAUUCUUCCUAUAUCAAGUGACUAUGCAUGGUCCAAUUACUUCUGAAUGUUACUGUCUGUGGCAGCCAGUGGACAAUCUUCCAGAGACUCCUGCCAUACUCUGCAAUUAUAUAUGUCAUUUGGGCACUAAAUCUGGCCACAUGACUGCUCCUGCAUCUGGCAUGCCCCUGUACAUCCUGACCCUAGUGAUAUCCAAAUAUUGGCCACGCUAGGCAUGGCUAUAAUGAAGAGAAGAAAGAAAAUGAUGACAGAGAAGAAAAAUAACCUGUUCUGAAUUUUAACCUGAGUUCCAGGUCCUGUGCUAAUGGCUUCAUAGAGAUGAAUGAGACAUGGAGCCUCCUGUGCGGAGCUCACAACACGAUCAUGAUGUGGUAAGGGUUUUGGAAAAGAGCCACAACACAGAAGCCGAGACAUUUUGUUCUACUGAUAGGAUCAGCUAAGACUUCACGGGACAGAUGGCAGUUGAUCUGGGCCUUCAAGGGUGACCCAUGCAUGUGACCAGUCAUUCACUUUGUCAUUCAUUCAUUCAUCCAUAGUUCAAGUACCAAUUUUGUGUUGGGCUUUUGUCUAAGCACUGGGCAUACAGAGAUAAUUAAACUUUAUAUAUCCAUUCACACAGCCUGAUGGUGGGGAGGGGAACACACAAAUGACUAUUAUAAACAGUAUCACAUAAUGAUGGCAGAAAUUAGUUAUAUUCAAGGUGCAAUUGGAUCAUUCAUGGAAAACAUAUCCAAGUCUGCAUGUGAGGAUUAAGAGACUUGUCAUGGUAAAACAUGAGUUAAAUUAAUAUUAAAAUAAGUCAUUCACCAA
Molecule: long non-coding RNA, 1099 nt
Organism: Callithrix jacchus (white-tufted-ear marmoset)
Lineage: Eukaryota; Metazoa; Chordata; Mammalia; Primates; Cebidae
Source: RefSeq, a predicted model, not a curated record